GGUUGUGUAGUGUAGUGGUAAUCACUGUAAGUUUCCUGCGAAGCACGCCCGCAUCCCUCACGUACUGACUCCCCCCGAGCCGGAUUUUGAUUCCGGCAACCCCGGUUCGAACCCGGGCACGACCU
Colletotrichum liriopes is the source of this 125-nucleotide non-coding RNA. The record is from the annotation of a GenBank genome assembly. Lineage: Eukaryota; Fungi; Ascomycota; Sordariomycetes; Glomerellales; Glomerellaceae.